AAGUCAUCAGCAACAGCUGGGAUGCACACCUGGGGCUGGGGGCCUGCGGAGAGGCCGAGGGCCUGGGGAGGAGGCUGAAGGAGUCCCUGCAGAACUGGUUCCGGGCCGAGUGUCUCAUGGACUAUGACCCGCGGGGGAACCGGCUGGUGUGCAUGGCCUGUGGCCGGGCACUGCCCAGCCUGCACCUGGACGACAUCCGUGCCCACGUGCUGGAGGUGCACCCUGGCUCCCUGGGGCUCAGCGGCCCCCAGCGCAGUGCCCUGCUGCAGGCCUGGGGGGGCCAGCCCGAGGCGCUGUCUGAGCUCACCCAGUCCCCACCAGGCGACGUUCCGCUGUCCCCUGGAGCUCCCU
RNAcentral lists this long non-coding RNA (351 nucleotides) under Homo sapiens (human). Its description in RNAcentral is "non-protein coding lnc-C11orf95-1:21". Lineage: Eukaryota; Metazoa; Chordata; Mammalia; Primates; Hominidae. The record is from RNAcentral.